RNAcentral lists this ribosomal RNA (131 nucleotides) under Amanita sp. 'cattaraugana'. RNAcentral's name for it is "partial 28S ribosomal RNA". It matches the Rfam family "Eukaryotic large subunit ribosomal RNA", at positions 1 to 130 of the family's 3401-position model. The record is from RNAcentral. Lineage: Eukaryota; Fungi; Basidiomycota; Agaricomycetes; Agaricales; Amanitaceae.
UUGACCUCAAAUCAGGUAGGACUACCCGCUGAACUUAAGCAUAUCAAUAAGCGGAGGAAAAGAAACUAACAAGGAUUCCCCUAGUAACUGCGAGUGAAGCGGGAAAAGCUCAAAUUUGAAAUCUGGCAGUC